Molecule: non-coding RNA, 1804 nt
Organism: Paramisgurnus dabryanus
Lineage: Eukaryota; Metazoa; Chordata; Actinopteri; Cypriniformes; Cobitidae
Source: RefSeq, a predicted model, not a curated record
UGGGUACACAGCAAAAUCACCAGUGUUAAAUUUUCAGGGAUGGUGUUAAAUACACAGUGUUGAUGCUGUUUUAACACUAUCUGGUAAUAAAAUAACACUGCCAUUGCUAGGCCAGUGUUAUAUUCACGACAGUGUCAGUGUAAAACAAGGGUGUUAUCAGAUUUCACUCUGAGCGGUGUAAAUCAAGCCACGCCUCCACUAAACAUAUCCUGUCAGGGAUUUUACCGCCAUUUUCUUUCACAGGAGGACUGAAGAGAUCAGGUAAAUCAGUCUCAUAAUAUUCACAUGGUUUAGCUAAAUUAAACUGUUAUUUCUCUGUCUGACUCUACGCAGCCAUAUGCCAAAAAACCUAAAUAAGAUAUUUUUCCCAUUUUAUUUCCCCUUUGUUCGUUAUUUGGUUCAGUUUAAUCAGAGUUACCUUGUGUUAUGUUGUUCCCUUGUUAGUUUAGUAUAAAGUUAAACUGCUAGCUAAAAGUUUAAAACCAAGAAGGAUAAUAUUAACAGGAGAUAUGAACGAAAGAAUUGAACCACGAUAAAACGCGACAUGCACUACAAAUUGAAGGUAUGAAAUUAAGUUAAAUGAAAGCUCGUUUAUUCACCAUAUGAUGCUCGUUAUAAGGUAAUCAUAUAGGCUAGAUACCGUGAGUUAACGAGGUCGUUUACAUGCACGUGAGUGCACGGAUAUCGGUUAAUUAUUCAAAUUACUGAAAAACACGGAGAAAACCGCAACCGCAUCGUCAUGUGUUUUUCUAAGAUGUAUGCAAACAGGGGAAAUAUCGCCAAACCAACAAUUAAUUUGACCAAAACCUCACAAUAUAUCAUCAUUUGUAUGCACAGAUUGGAUGCAUUGUGUGUUGUAUGCUUUUCGUGGCGCUAGAUGUCAGACAGAUGCAAAUGGCAAAUACAUACGAAAGUGUAAAACGUGUAUGGCGAACAUUUGUUUUUUUCUGUCAUUAUAGAUGCUAGUUUGGUGAAAGUUCACACUGAGUGCUUCAAAUCAUUCAGAAGAGAUGCUGUUUUUAGGGCAGUUUAUUAAAGAAGACCUGACAUGGAUGACUUCCAAUGAGAAACGACUGCUAAUACUUAUAUAAAUUCAUUACAGAAGGACCCUACCAGACUAUAUUUGAAUACGGCAUUCCCAUGAAUUCUGGAACUGUUAUUCCUUAACCUAGUUUUAAAGGAUAAGAGCUUACCAACUAGUUAUAAAUAUGCUGAGGUGAUGUAUUGCAAAAUAGCCAACAUACAACAAUAUGGAUGACCCUCUGUCUGGUCAACAGGAGUUUAAAUAUGGACGGGACAGUGAUGUGGCAGCUCUUCCCUGGCCCAUUCACCUCUUGCCUUCAUUUGUGAAAGGAAGAAAGACUGGAGAGGGUCAAUGUGCAACUGAAGCUACUGAUUGUGCUGUGUGAUGAGCAUCAAUCCAUGCUUUGAGGGGAAUGAAUCAGCACAGCCCUGCCUGCACUGCGUUGGGAACAGAAGUUGCAUCCAGAAUUUUUGCAUCAUUCUGGACCAAAAAGCCAUUCCCUCCAUGAUGAAGACCACUGAUGCAGCCUUCCACUACAUCAUGAGUAAAACAACUACAGAACUAAAUACCAGGUUGGAACGUAUUUAAGAAAAAUGAACCGUCUUUUGAAUUGAAAUGUCUGUUUUGUUAUGGAAAAAUCUUUAGUAUUGUGAAGGAUAAGCAUUUCUGCUUGCCAGUAAGGUAAUUGCAGUGUAUUUUAAUGUUCAAGUUUUGAGUAGGGUGGCUAAUUUUUUUUAAACUCUCAUUUGAUAUAUUAAAGACCUUAUAAUUGGUGGUUUU